Mercenaria mercenaria is the source of this 3076-nucleotide long non-coding RNA. RefSeq lists it as uncharacterized. The record is from RefSeq and is a predicted model, not a curated record. The transcript has 3 exons. NCBI's taxonomy places the organism in Eukaryota, Metazoa, Mollusca, Bivalvia, Venerida, Veneridae.
AUCAAUUCAUUUGUUAACUUCAAAUGUGCGUGGGUAAAACUCUUAUUUAAAUAGAGAAAAUGUGUAGGAUGUUUUAUUUUCACUUUAUUUCAAAUACUGAUUAAUUAAAUAAUUUCAUUUACUUCUGAUUAUUUAUAUGCUUAUUAUAUCCUAUGUUCAUUUCAGUUCCAUUCCAAUCGUUUUCGUUUAGUUCGUCUCUUAGCAAUGCCUCAUCCGUUGCCAAGCAAUGUGCAGCUACUGGAUACUAUGUGGAGAUCAAAGAUAUAACUAAGUCAGCAUUUACUUCUGGAAGCACAACUCCAUCUAAGAUUGUAUGUCGAGAACACAUUAUAUCCAAUUCAAAGGACUGUUCCUGAGCUUGACAAAGAACUUUACAUAACACAGAAACGAUCUGACACCAUAAAGCUAUCGCAGCAAAAUGUUGAAAAAAUGUCAUUCAACUUGUGGAAGUUCUUACAUCAGGGAGUGAUGAUUACAAAGAGCUUAUGUCUGUUGUCCAACCUUUCUGCACUAAUGAUUCUAAUACCAAUGAAGUUAUGUAUGGCCAAGGCAUUUACCAAAAAGGAGGCUGAUGAUUGAAAUAAAAAGCUGGCAUGAAAAGUACGUUUACAGGACGACUUAUCCCGCCCGCUUAGCUCAGCAGGGAGAGCGCAGAUCUACGUAUCGCGGGGUGUGAGUUCUAUCCACGGGCGAGGCGUAUGUUCUCCGUUACAAUUUGAUAAAACAAAUGUCUGAAAUCGUUCGUCCUUCACCUCUGAUUCAUAUGGGGAAGUUGGCAGCUACUUUCAGAGAACAGGUUUGUACUGGUACAAAAUCAAGGGACACUGGUUAGUUUAACUGCCUGCCGUUACAUAUUAUUAACUGAAAUACUGUUGAAAAACGGUGUUAAACCAAAAACAAACAAAUAAUCAAAAGAUAUGACAAAUUAUUUAUUCAUAUUUUGCACAAUUGUUUAAACUAUUUUAUUAGUUAUGUUCAAAAUGUUAGACCAGAACUCGCUAUGAAGAGAUCAAAGUGUAUACGAGUGUACUUGGUCAAAGGUUAAGUGAGGCUUGGACAUCUUGCACAAAAGAUCACUUUGGAUGCAGUAAGAAGGAUCACUGGUAGAUAUAUAGCUCGUUCGUGUUAUAGUGCUACAGUAAAGAAUAAGGUCUCAACAUAUUUCUACGAUGAUCUGAUCACAUAUGUUUUAAUGAGGACGGUCAUUGAUAGCUAUGUAUAAAACAAUUGUUUGAAAGUUUCAGUACAAACACUAAGAAUAGUUCAUGUGUUUAAGGUGCCAUACGAAAUAUCUGGCUCAAUGGUAACUGAGUAGGUGGCAAAGAGACUCUACCAUGUUACCGCAAAAUACUUACCAGAAAGCCCGAUAUUUCCAUCCGCACUUUCAGCUAAUGAUAUAUUUUUUCUUUUGCUUGCCUUAUUCUUCUUUUCAUAGAAGGUAUAAAAAUUUAUUAAUGCAUUUCUUUUAAUAAAGAGUUAUCUUGCGAACCGGGUUGUCAGACGAGUUUUUUUUUCAGUGCAUAAAAAUCACGGGUAAAACUUGACAUGCAGGAGUAGACGAGUCUUCCAAAUAUUUCCUCUCUGAUUACAAAUGUUACAAUAUUAGGUACCCUUGAAUCAUUCGUUUGAUAUAUCCAGAAGGCUACAACUUUCUGUUCUACAAAUCUUCUACCCGAAAUCAGGAAGAUCAUUUAUUGAUAUUUAUAAAUCAUUUGUGACAUGGUCCAAAACAAAGUAGUGGUUUCAACAUUUCGUUUUUCUGAUCACCUACGUUUUUUGGAUGAGUAUUUAUAAAUCAUUAAGCACAACAUUUGCUUUUGACCUUCAGAUCAAAAUUUUAAGUUGUUUCGGGGAUAAUUGUAAGAAAACAAGUGCGGAACGAAGAAUGUUUUAUUAUCGAACUGUUUAUAAAUGUUGAUUUUCAUAGAACGUUAAUUUGUAAUAAAUGUAGUAGUUGUAAGUGAGUCACUUCAUACUUUAAGCACACACACUUUUCAGGCUAUGUAUUUAUUAAUUAUAAUGAUUUCCCCCAUUUGAAAGCGUUAUUUAUUUCAGUUGUGAGACCAGUUACACAUAUAAUUUGAAGCUUAUCUUUAGAAAGACCACAAGGAAUAUAUAAUAUUAAUCUUGCACAUUAUAUUAUCAUGUUUUAAUUAUUUCAUGAGGUAAACUGUAUGUUUAAAACGUAAACGUGAUAAGGCAAUCUCACAAAACGAUAAUUUAUACAAUUGUUUAAGCUCACGUCUGGCUUCCCAUAGUGUUCAUCAGCUAUCUAUGUUUAACAUUGUAAAUAUAGCCUUAUAUCUUACAAAACUAUUGUGCAUUAUAGAAAAGUUUCUGCUUAUCCAUCAGAUACAAUAAUCAGAUGGCCUCCAAUAACUAGAGGAGUUCUGUUACACGUUUUCUAUGUAGGUGUAAAUUUUACGAUAGAUUACAUUUUUCUAGUUUACUGUCAGAAGUUCAUAAAGAAGUUUCAGGAAAUACUGUGUAUUUUUAAUAGUCAGGUUGUAUGCAAAUAACGUUUUCUUUUCUUUCUUCCCUUUUUUUGCGUUUCAAAAUUACAUUUGUCUAGUUUCCGCAUGACUCAUUAUCUUACUUGUUAAAUUUAAUUAUAUAUACCGAGGCCUCAGUGGCUGACACUUCGAACCACUUGAGCCACCUCGAUGUUGGUUCGAAGUCUCACUGAAGGUGUAGAAUGCUUCAUGUGAGGAAGUGAUCAUGCUGGAUUACUGAAGAUCAGUGGUUAUGCCCAGGUGUCCGCCCAUAAUGCCUGAGACAAUGCAUGUAUUGGUACUUUGGGUCUAGUUCAACCAUCACAAGAAAGGUCGCCUCCAAGUGGCUCUAAUCCAAAAGAAAACAAUACUUCUACGUUAUGAGGUUUUCAUUUAUGUCGUGUUGGGCGACCUGUGGUUUUCCACUCUCUCUGUUUCAUGAUGCACACUACACCUAUUUUUAUUACAGUUUGUCGAAAGUUCAACAUAUACGACAGGUAGUAUUCAAACUGUGUCAAGACAUAAGAAAUACAUAUAUGAAGAAUUUCACCUACAUGAAAUUAACUUUCAUACAGUCGAAAGGC